GGAACCUUUCGCUGAGUCGGUAGAGCACAGGACUCCUGAUCUUAGGGUUGUGGGUUCAAGACCCGCGCUGGGCCA
Non-coding RNA from Podarcis lilfordi (Lilford's wall lizard), 75 nucleotides. The record is from the annotation of a GenBank genome assembly. NCBI's taxonomy places the organism in Eukaryota, Metazoa, Chordata, Lepidosauria, Squamata, Lacertidae.